UACUAGAGUAGCACUCGCAUAUCCAAUAAGCGGAGGAAAAGAAACUAACAAGGAUUCCCCUAGUAACGGCGAGUGAAGCGGGAAGAGCUCAAAUUUGAAAUCUUAAAGGGUUUCCCUUUACGAAUUGUAGUUUAAAGAAGUGUUUUCUGUUGAGGUUUUGGUAAAAGUUCUUUGGAAUAGGACAUCAUAGAGGGUGAGAAUCCCGUAUUUGACCUUUACUUUCAACUUUGUGAUACACUUUCAAAGAGUCGGAUUGUUUGGGAAUGCAGUCCAAAAUGGGUGGUAAAUUUCAUCUAAAGCUAAAUAUUGGCGAGAGACCGAUAGCGAACAAGUACCGUGAGGGAAAGAUGAAAAGAACUUUGAAAAGAGAGUUAAACAGUACGUGAAAUUGUCAAAAGGGAAGCGUUUGACACCAGUGUUGUUUUUCUGAAAAUCAAUUAAAGAACUGUUUAUGCUAAGCUGUUUAGACUUUAUCAGCUAUCUGUUUAGUUUUGAGCUUUUCUUUAAUGCACUUUUCAGUUAACAAGUCAACAUCAAUUUCUUUUGCUGUAAAAAAGCUUGAGGAAGGUGGCUUGAGAUUCGUCUUAAGUGUUUAUAGCCUCUUGCCUAUGCAGUCGGAGAGAUUGAGGUCUGCAGCGUAGAUCCUUCGGGGCUAAAUGCAUUUGUGCUAAGUUAUAGCAUUUUAUAGACAACUUGUUGACUAUGAUUUGUCUUGUAGCUUACUCGCUUAUGUUAUUUUACCUACGCUUAGGAUGUUGAACUACUGAGACAUAGA
Molecule: ribosomal RNA, 775 nt
Filed under: uncultured Neocallimastigales
Lineage: Eukaryota; Fungi; Neocallimastigomycota; Neocallimastigomycetes; Neocallimastigales
Description: partial large subunit ribosomal RNA
Rfam family: Eukaryotic large subunit ribosomal RNA
Source: RNAcentral